Non-coding RNA from Leptonychotes weddellii (Weddell seal), 521 nucleotides. NCBI's taxonomy places the organism in Eukaryota, Metazoa, Chordata, Mammalia, Carnivora, Phocidae. The record is from RefSeq and is a predicted model, not a curated record.
CUAAUGUUUGAACUAGAAACACUUCUCUUUAAGUAGGAGCUGGUGUCUGGGGGCCUCUUUCAGGGACUGGCUGCCCUGGAGCUGCUCUCCCUCCAGAUGUAUAAGUACCAAAUUACAAAAUACCUUACAAGUGGUCCAGUCUGAUACCACUCGCCAUCACCACCACCACCAUCGUUUGAUGCUUGAAACUCUCAAUAGGUUGGAGUAAGUACUGUUCAGACACACGUGACAAAUGAUGUCUAUACUCAGUGCCCAUAGCUAUGGUGAACCUAGGCUUAGAUGUGAUUCCUGGCUACUGACCUGAACCACAACAGAUUCUCCUCCUACUUAAGAAAGAAUGUUGCCUGCAAGGUCCUCCAACUCAAUCUGCACUCAGCCAUAUGAUUUUCUUCAGCCAGUGGGUAUAGCUGACCCAAGGCAAGCAGAGGUUUGAAAUACGCUUACACGGGGCGUCUGGGUGGCUCAGUUGGUUAAGUGACUGCCUUCGGCUCAGGUCAUGAUCCUGGAGUCCCAGGAUCGAG